Fukomys damarensis (Damara mole-rat) is the source of this 301-nucleotide non-coding RNA. NCBI's taxonomy places the organism in Eukaryota, Metazoa, Chordata, Mammalia, Rodentia, Bathyergidae. The record is from Rfam.
GCCGGGCGUGGUGGCGUGCGCCUGUAAUCCCAGCUACUCGGGAGGCUGAGGUGGGAGGAUGGCUUGAGUCCAGGAGUUCUGGGCUGCUGUGCGCUAAGCCAAUCUGGUGUCCGCUCUAAGUUCGGCAUAAAUAUGGUGACCUCCCAGGAGCGGGGGACCACCAGGUUGCCUAAGGUGAGGUGAAUCAGCUUAGGUCGGAAAAAGAGCAGGUCAGAUACCAUUACAAUUCAGGGCAUACAUUACUUCCCCGUGUCUGAGGAUGACAGAAGACAAUUGCAAAGAAAAUAAAAAUAACCCGAGU